Molecule: long non-coding RNA, 1485 nt
Filed under: Phaseolus vulgaris (common bean)
Lineage: Eukaryota; Viridiplantae; Streptophyta; Magnoliopsida; Fabales; Fabaceae
Description: long non-coding RNA (PVUL_LNC004582)
Source: RNAcentral
ACAAGCUCUGGUUGUGGACAUGGAGGAUAGUAAUUCAAUCUCAUGGAUUGAACCCCAUCACCAAAUAACUCACUAAUUUCCUUUGUCUCCACACUCAGGGCAUUUUCCAUAAGGUCAAUGAUCUUCAUAGCAAGGUUUUUCAAUUCGGUACAAUAGCUGUCUAAAUCAUCUCUGCAAUCAAAUCAUUUCAUAACACACACACAAAAAAUAUGUUUAGUAAACUUCAAAGCCAUUAUGCAAACUUUUAUUUUCUCAGCAAACCACUACAUAGGUUAUUUUUUAAGUAAAAUCAUAUGGCUUCUAGUUUUUGGUUUGCCCUAUAUAUCAGUUUGCUAUUAUGUUGUAGUGUUGACUUAGUCACUUUCAGUUGGUGUUUGUUAUUUGUUGUGGCUUUAUCAAUGUACUUGUACACUUUUGCUGUAUUCGAUUAUAAAAUAUUUAAUAAUUAGGUUCAUACAUUGAGACAGGUUUGACUAACCAGAGAUAUAUCAGAUCAAAUUGAUGAUCUGAUUGGUUAUGCAAUUAAUAAGAACAAAUUGAAAUUGAUUUAUCUAGAUCAAUUAAAAUUUGAUGAUCCCAUUUGCUCCCAUAACAGGUUUUUGAUGGGACUGGUUUUCGUAACACUGAUCAUGAGUACAUAUCCCAUAAUUUAUUUAGUAAUUUGAAGUUGUUAGUUUUCAUACAAACGUAUUCUUGGAAGGAGAAAAAAAGAAAUUUCGAAAUAAAAUUAGUAACACCAAACAAAAUAGCUACCAAAAUUAUAAAUUCAGAUCCUUAAUAACUGUUUUUUUCACCAACUUUUGAAAGAUAUAAAAUGGAGGAAAACAAUUAUAAUGAACAAAAAGAAAAGCAGAAAGCAUAGUAAUGAACAGAGAGAGGAACCUGAAUGGUAAGGGGAUGUUGGGGAAUAAGUAGGGUUUCCUUAAUCGUGGUGGCAAAGUGAGCAUGAAAAACAUAUCUCCCCAUUCUAAUUUCUGCUCCUCAGAAACAACAAAGACCUGACCAUAUCCCUCCACACCUUCUCCUUCUCUCUGCCUAAACAUUUUUUUCUCUUCAAUUGGAAGAUUGAACAAUUCAUGAGCACCUCUCUUCACUUUCUCCACCAAUGAACUGCUCACUCCGUGAUUAAUCAACUGCACGUAAAUAGUAAUUCAUCAGUUCAUAACUAACAUGCAUCACCAGAUCAGGACAUGUAUUAAUCGAUUGUUCUAUAUGAAAAUGAGGUAGGACUAUGCACAAAUAAUGAAUAAAAGCUCUCUUAUCUGGAUAAUGCUUUCACCAAUAAUUUGUUAGAUAAGGGGAAUGAGAAACCUGAAAGAAACCCCAUUCUUUGCAGGCACAGUGUAGGUUUUGCAGCUCAGUUUCCUUGAGAUCUGGGGAGAACAAUUUGCUUAGGUCAAUGAUGGGAACUUGGGGUAAAGGUGUGGUGGUAGAUAAUAUUGGACGUUCAUGAAGUGGACGAACAUAACGCUCUGGAACACUCGU